GGGUCCACAAUUUCCUUUUUCAAUAUUGAAAUUAAUUCUCUUUUGUAUUUUUUUAUUAUUUUUAUUUUUUAUUUUUAUGAGAUACAUUGACUUUACAAAGAUGAUUGUAAUUAAUAUUUAUUAGGAUUGAAUUUCUUUUAGUUAGUUUUUAUUUCCUUUUGUUGGUAUUCUUUAUUUAUUGGAAAUCUUCCUAUACCCAUGAAAUCUCGUUAUGAUUGAGAUUUUU
RNAcentral lists this long non-coding RNA (226 nucleotides) under Vitis vinifera (wine grape). RNAcentral describes it as "long non-coding RNA (VVIN_LNC008078)". The record is from RNAcentral. Lineage: Eukaryota; Viridiplantae; Streptophyta; Magnoliopsida; Vitales; Vitaceae.